RNAcentral lists this ribosomal RNA (497 nucleotides) under uncultured bacterium. RNAcentral describes it as "partial 16S ribosomal RNA". It matches the Rfam family "Bacterial small subunit ribosomal RNA", at positions 28 to 507 of the family's 1533-position model. The record is from RNAcentral.
GAUGAACGCUGGCGGCGUGCCUAAUACAUGCAAGUCGAGCGAACAGACGAGGAGCUUGCUCCUCUGACGUUAGCGGCGGACGGGUGAGUAACACGUGGAUAACCUACCUAUAAGACUGGGAUAACUUCGGGAAACCGGAGCUAAUACCGGAUAAUAUAUUGAACCGCAUGGUUCAAUAGUGAAAGACGGUUUUGCUGUCACUUAUAGAUGGAUCCGCGCCGCAUUAGCUAGUUGGUAAGGUAACGGCUUACCAAGACAACGAUGCGUAGCCGACCUGAGAGGGUGAUCGGCCACACUGGAACUGAGACACGGUCCAGACUCCUACGGGAGGCAGCAGUAGGGAAUCUUCCGCAAUGGGCGAAAGCCUGACGGAGCAACGCCGCGUGAGUGAUGAAGGUCUUCGGAUCGUAAAACUCUGUUAUUAGGGAAGAACAAAUGUGUAAGUAACUAUGCACGUCUUGACGGUACCUAAUCAGAAAGCCACGGCUAUCUACGUG